Molecule: long non-coding RNA, 4113 nt
Filed under: Sus scrofa (pig)
Lineage: Eukaryota; Metazoa; Chordata; Mammalia; Artiodactyla; Suidae
Description: lncRNA (ENSSSCG00040038605.1)
Source: RNAcentral
AUGUUAUAUAAUUGGUAUUAGCUUUUUUUAAAAACAUAUGAUUGAAUUUACCAGGGAGGCCAUCCUAGACUUGGCCUUUUCUUUAGAAAAAAUUUAAUUACUAAUUCAGUCUCUUUGCUUGUUUUUUUAUAUGUACAAUUGUCUAUUUCUUCUUGAGUCUGUUUCAAUAGUAUGUCUUUUUAGGAAUUUAUCUAAUUCAUCUAAAGUUAUUUAAUAUAUUGUAUAUAAUUAUUCAGAGUAUUCUUUUGUAAUGCUUUCUAUUUUAGUAAGUUUGGUAGCACUGUUACCUCAUAUAUCUGAUUCUAGUAAUUGAAGUCUUCUCUCUUUCUCACUCUUUCUCUUUCUCUCUGGUCAGUCUGUCAGUCUAGCUAAGGUUAAAGGACUGUCCAUUAUGCUGAGCUUUCCAAAGAAUCAUCUUUUGGUUUCAUGAUUUUUCAUUGAUUUCUCUAUUGUUUUCCUCUUCUCUAUUUCAGUACUUUAUACUCUACUCUUUGUUAUUUGCUUUUCUGCUUGCUUUAGGUUUAUUUUUCUUUUCUCAGUGUCUUAUAUGGAAUAUUAGGUCAUCAAUUUGAGAACUUUCUUCUUUUUUAUAUAGACAUUUAUAGAUAUAAAUUUCUCUUUGAGCAUUGCUUUAGCUGCACCCCAUAACUUUUUAUAUGUUGUGUCUUCACUUUUAUUCUUCUCAAAGUAUUUCCUAAUUUCCCUUAUAACUUCUUGUUUGACACAUUUGUUAUUUAAGAGUGUGUUGUAUAAUUUCCACAUAUUUGCGAAUUUCUCUAUCUUUUUCUAUUAUUAUUUUCUAAUUUCACUCCACAAUGAUUGGAGAACAUGCCUUAUAUUAUUUCUAUAUUUUAAAAAUUUAAUGAAGUUUGUUUUAUAGCCUAGUAUAUGGUCUAUCCUAAAGAUUCUUCCAUGUACACUUGAGAAUAUAUAUUCUGCUGUUGUUGAGUGAAGUGUUCUGUAGAUAUCCAUUAGUUCCACUUUGUUUAUUGUGAUAUUCAAGUCUUCUAUUUUUUUUUUAUUUUCUUACUGUUGAUUAUCCAUUAGCAAAUAUGAUAUUUAUGUUUCUGACCAUAUCAAAGUGCUGAAGUCCAAUGAACAUUUAGCUAUAUCUGGUGAGCAAGUCAUUUAAAUUCUCUCUGGGGCUUAAUCCUCAUGAAUAUGGGCAUUUACUUCCAGUUUUUCUUCGUAGGCCUCUUACCCCUCUGUGAUUCUGUUACUUUUACUAUCCCUAGGUCUUAAAUGAAAUGAUUUCAUAAUUCAUGAUGAAACGAAAUUUAGAUUAUAAGUUUUCUGUGUUUUCUGCAUUCAUAAAAUGUGUGAUUCACUAGUAGCUUUUGCUGAGAAAUGUAUCAUACAAAAAUAGUCAAAUGCCUGCCUAAGACAGCUGUUUUUAGAAAGAGAAAACUAUGAUUCAAAGUCCAACACAAGCAUGUCAUCCAAUGGGAUCCCUUCUCCACCUGAUUAGAAUGAAUCUUAGUCCUCCACUUUCAAAUCACAUUAUACACACCUCCGUUAUAAAAAUUGUCCCACUAGUAUGUUUUCUGUAUGCCCCACCCCAAAAGACUGAAUGUUUGAUAAUGAAACCUUACCUCAUUUUUGUUUGUAGCUGUAGAAUAAUAUCUCAAGAGGUACAAAUAAAUGCUUGUAUUUUAAUAGUAAUAUAUUUUAUUUCCAAUUUGGCCAUAAUUAAAGAUGUCUCUCAUAUUUACGUUAUUAGCUAUGUGUAUCUCAACUGAGUCAACAUUCUGUCUCACCUGAGUCCAUUUGUGUGCCCUCCCAUAUGUAGCACCUUAACUCCUAUUCAAAGUAUACUUGGUUUUAAGACUCAUGGUUUAUUCAGUACCUUUGUUCAGGUUUUGUUCAAGAUGAACCUCUUUCUUUUGAUUGGUUUGCUCAGGUGAGUGUGCAGGCUACUUUUCUUCCUUGACAUUUGAAUGUUAUAUGCUGCAUUUGUUGUUACACUUUAGCAUGACUUUAAAGCAGUUUUCUGUCCCUGCUUAUAGUGGCUCACCAGCAGCUCACCUGUUCUCUGGGUAUUCUCUGAUCCUGUCUCUUCUAUUAGCAUCCUAAGAUGUUUUAGACCCUAAUACUGUUUUGCUAUUUACUGUUUGUAUUUGAAUAUGUCAAAAUUGUUUGACAUGAUAGAUGUCACUUUUGAGCCAGGUUGCAAGUCAAAUCCCUUAAUUAACUUAGUGACAAAGGAGGGUUUAUUUACCUAUCAUGUCAUCAUUAUUUGGAACAGUUCCUUGAGAGGCCAAUUUAAGCUGUGCUGCAUGCAAGCUAGUACUUGACCUUGACCACUAUCAGAAAUAUUUUCAAUCCAACAGAUGUGUUAACAUCUUGAGAAAUUUAUCAUCCGAAUAUAAAGCACCAUAAGUGUUCCGUGGAUUUUUAAAGAUCUAUACACACUUAUUACCUUUUAAUGUAUGUUACCAAAAUAUUUAGAAAAUAAAGCUAAACACAAAGGAAAAAUUAUAACCUCCCCUCAUCCUCUCUGUAUUAUCAACCCCUGGCUAUAAAUACUGUUAAAACUUGGGGUCUCUUCCUUUCCAGACUUCUAUCUGUUUGUCUGUCUAUGUAGCUAUCAAUCUAUGAAACUCUGUAUAUACAUAUGCAUACUUUUGCUAUAAGAAAACUACUUACUAUUUUGUGCCAACAUUUUUUAUAUAUCACCAUAUUGUAAUAUAUAUCACCAUAUUGUAAUAUAUAUCACCAUAUUGUAAACUCCAAGAUGAGGUUAGAAUACAAAAUUAAAUAACUUGACUGUCUAUAAUUUAAAUUCUCAUAGUUAUCAUAGCUUCAAAUAAAGUAUCAAUCAGAAAACUCUUUCAACUCUAAAUCUAAAAUAAAUCUAUUUUUAUGAAUAAUUAUUCAAAAUAAUCAUUAGUGUGAUGCAUAUGUAUUAGAUUAUAAAAUAUGUAUCUUUUGCUAAAUGAUUAAUUUUUAAAAUAAUGUACCUUUAUCUAAGAUGGUGGAUUUACAGUGGUGAACUUAUUUAUGAGGUUCUCCUAAGGAAAUAAGGAUUCACAUUGGAACCAUUUUAAUUUAGGAAAUUUUAUUGAAAGAGUCAAGCUUCAGUUGGAAAGUUCAAGCUAACAUGACUGUUAAACUAAUUAGAAGUGGUUUGAUCUACACAUGGAAAAAAACAUGAAGCCUGGCAAUAUUCACUUAGGUGCUAUGUAGUCACUUAGACUACUGUGCUGAGCAUAUGUGUUCAGAUAUUCUAAAAAUAUGACUUGGGAGUUCCCAUCAUGGCACAGCAGAAACGAAAUCAACUAGUAUCCAUGAGGAUGCAGGCUGGAUCCCUGAGCUCGCUCAGUGGCUUAAGAAUCCAGAGUUGCUGUGAGCUGUGGUGUCUAUAGGCCAGCAGCUACAUCUCUGAUUAGACCUCUAGCCUGGGAACUGCCAUAUGCAAUGGGUGCUGUCCUAAAAAGCAAAAAAAAUAAAAAAUUAAAAAAAUUUAAAAUAUGACUUCUUUAAAGAGUUAAUAACAUCAGAUUAUAAUAAAAAAGUCAUAUAAAAUGAAACCAUGAAUCAACCCACCUGUUUAAGACAACUUUUUUCCACAUCAUCAUAAUUGCAGAAUUAACAAUGAAUCUCAACAUACUUCUACUCGUCCCACCUGGAUUUCAGGCCUCUAAAAAAUUUGAAGUCUGAGAAAACAGCAUAUAAAGCAUUCUUAAUUGUGAUUUGAAAAAUAUAACCUAUCCAAAAUCUUGUCAUCAACAGAAUCCAUGUUUGUUAACCCACUACCAGCCCUGUUUUGUAGAAAUGUAUUUUAUUCUAAUUUAACACAAAAAUCAGAGGAUGGUAUUUCUUAAUGAAUAUAAAUAGCCACCAAUAUAUAGCCAUUAACAUACACCAAAGGCAAGAAAGCAAUUUCAUGAGUUCCUGUCAUGCCUUAGAAGAAAUGAAUCUGACUAACAUCCAUAAGGAGGCAGGUUUGAUCCCUGGCCUUGAUCAGUGGGUUGGGGAUCUGGCAUUGCUGUGGGCUGUUGCCUAGGUUGCAGACUCAGCUCGGAUCCUGUGUUGCUGUUGCUGUGGUUUAGGCCAGAGGCUACAGCUCCAGUUGGACCCCUAGCCUGGGUAUCUCCAUGUGCUAUGGGUGUG